This 293-nucleotide ribosomal RNA is filed under the name uncultured bacterium. Its description in RNAcentral is "partial 16S ribosomal RNA". It matches the Rfam family "Bacterial small subunit ribosomal RNA", at positions 505 to 796 of the family's 1533-position model. The record is from RNAcentral.
GUGUCAGCAGCCGCGGUAACACGUAGGGGGCAAGCGUUGUCCGGAUUUAUUGGGCGUAAAGAGCUCGUAGGCGGCUCACUAAGUCGGGUGUGAAACCUCCAGGCUUAACCUGGAGACGCCACCUGAUACUGGUGUGGCUAGAGUCCGGUAGGGGAGCGUGGAACUCCUGGUGUAGCGGUGAAAUGCGCAGAUAUCAGGAAGAACACCAGCGGCGAAGGCGGCGCUCUGGGCCGGAACUGACGCUGAGGAGCGAAAGCGUGGGUAGCAAACAGGAUUAGAAACCCCCGUAGUCC